AUUGAACGCUGGCGGCAGGCCUAACACAUGCAAGUCGAACGGUAACAGGAAGAAGCUUGCUUCUUUGCUGACGAGUGGCGGACGGGUGUGUAAUGUCUGGGAAACUGCCUGAUGGAGGGGGAUAACUACUGGAAACGGUAUCUAAUACCGCAUAACGUCGCAAGACCAAAGAGGGGGACCUUCGGGCCUCUUGCCAUCGGAUGUGCCCAGAUGGGAUUAGCUAGUAGGUGGGGUAACGGCUCACCUAGGCGACGAUCCCUAGCUGGUCUGAGAGGAUGACCAGCCACACUGGAACUGAGACACGGUCCAGACUCCUACGGGAGGCAGCAGUGGGGAAUAUUGCACAAUGGGCGCAAGCCUGAUGCAGCCAUGCCGCGUGUAUGAAGAAGGCCUUCGGGUUGUAAAGUACUUUCAGCGGGGAGGAAGGGAGUAAAGUUAAUACCUUUGCUCAUUGACGUUACCCGCAGAAGAAGCACCGGCUAACUCCGUG
RNAcentral lists this ribosomal RNA (490 nucleotides) under uncultured bacterium. Its description in RNAcentral is "partial 16S ribosomal RNA". It matches the Rfam family "Bacterial small subunit ribosomal RNA", at positions 30 to 507 of the family's 1533-position model. The record is from RNAcentral.